UUCAUUUUCCCAACUCUCCUUUGGUGUUUGACAAAAGACAAUGACCUGAUUACAUUUCUAACGGUUAGUGUAUGUAUAUCCGAUGGGAAACUUGAGAUUGCCCUGAAAAUCAUUUGAUUACACCUUUUGAAUGUUCCUGAAUGACAACAGCAGCAGCAACACAAUGUGUUUGUGACAUAAAACUUACUUCACAUAGCUUAUGCACAUAUUGAUCCACUGUUUUCCUAGUGAAUUUUAGGGGUGGACUCCUGCAUUGCCUGGGGUUAGAAAAAACGUUCUCUCUGGAUUCUCCAUAUUUCCAAUAUUUUUGAUUCUGUAGAUGAAGUUAUUGAUAUUUCAGGCCAAGUUGAAUCUCCUCUAAGAAGUUUGUAGACCCACAAGAAGAAAUUCAGAAACACAGAUUUGUUGAGUGGUGACUGAAUACAGCCCUGAGAAACUUCCUUAGUUUUCUUCUGAAUGAAGCCACUUGACGCCACCCACCCUAGAACAGAUCCUUGUUCUUCCUUUGCAACUGCUUUUCAUCCUUGUCUGGAAAAGUUUCCUUUUCCUCUGGAUCUCUGCAUUUUCUCACAGCCCUAAGAAAUCUGUUAUCCUCUGACGAAGGAUUUUGGGGGGACCCUGAUUGAUCUUCUCACCUCCUCUUUCAUGUUAGACAAAAACAAUUUCCCGCUUAAGAUUCUAACAAUCAGCAUA
This is a non-coding RNA of Pseudonaja textilis, 693 nucleotides long. The record is from RefSeq and is a predicted model, not a curated record. NCBI's taxonomy places the organism in Eukaryota, Metazoa, Chordata, Lepidosauria, Squamata, Elapidae.